AAAGAUUCGGGCGAUUGGGGGGAAGCCCAUCUCUGUACAAUGACUGCCAAAUGUGCAUGCAACUGUGCAAUGCCCAGCGACUGUAAAAGCAUGAAGUAUUGUACGACACAUCCUUUACAAAUAUUUGGACAUAUUUUGUGUAAUAUCCAUUUUUUUCCGGUUAUUCUAAAUAAUUAUUACCGAUUAGAUAUUCUGUCAAGUGUCAAUAUUACCAUUGUAAGUUUAAUGAUAUAUACCAUUUUUAUAAUAGGCCCUAUGACAAUGGACUGGAAAAUUCACCUGCUUCAAUUCCCUCUUUCACGCAAUCAUACACUGUGUCAUUUCAAGCAUCUCAAUGUUUCAAUGCGGACAAUGCCCAAAACAGAGAUCAAGCCAUGCUCCAAUCCAGUCCAUGGAAAAAUUGUUGGGACAGGCGGUAGAAACUCUUAUGCUACAAGCUACGGCAUCUGCAACUUUCCACUGAUUAUAGUGUGGACUCGGACAUACAGGAAUUGAUGAAAUUCAUUGUCUGAUUACAUUUUGAUCCAGAAUACAUUCAAGGAUGAAAAAAUGGCUCCUCUGGAUGAUCUGGCAACG
This is a non-coding RNA of Styela clava, 576 nucleotides long. NCBI's taxonomy places the organism in Eukaryota, Metazoa, Chordata, Ascidiacea, Stolidobranchia, Styelidae. The record is from RefSeq and is a predicted model, not a curated record.